GAGAGCAUCCAAAAUAACAGCUGAUCAGGGAUGAUGGAACAAUACAGUGAACAGUCCCAAAUCUGCUGCCUUUUUGGGAAAUCACAGCUUGCACUUAAGAAGUACUAAGUCACAUACAGUGAGGUAGCAUUGUUUUGCAAGAAGGUGCCUGGGCAUGAAUCUACCUGAAGCACAGAAAAAACUCUGACCUGUGUGUUCACCUCAGUUGACAGCAGAGCAGCGUAUUUGUUAGUGAGCAGCAUGCUGUCAGACUGGUCAGCAUACAAACCUGAUUGUUCUCCCCAUGCCACACAAUUCUAAGAACACCUGUUGAAGAUUUGGAAGGCAGCAGCAGCAUUUUUGAGAGCAGAAGGGUGGUCUCCUAGGCAAACACAGCAAAUGCAGCCAAAAGCUCCUUUCUGUCUAGCUUCACCUUAUCCCUUCACAACAUAUCACUGAGGAACAUCUGGCUGGAAAAGGAUCCAGAAGUUCAUAGAAGAAGGCUAAAACUGUGUGAAGCAAUCUGGUUGUAGGUGACUCUUCAGCCUGCCAGACAAAGGUAUAACAAGAUCCAAGAUUUGCAGGCUGAAAGCAGCGGAUUUCAGGGCAAGGA
This is a long non-coding RNA of Pogoniulus pusillus (Red-fronted tinkerbird), 592 nucleotides long. RefSeq lists it as uncharacterized. The record is from RefSeq and is a predicted model, not a curated record. Lineage: Eukaryota; Metazoa; Chordata; Aves; Piciformes; Lybiidae. The transcript has 4 exons.